Molecule: transfer RNA, 70 nt
Filed under: Anaerolineaceae bacterium 4572_5.2
Lineage: Bacteria; Bacillati; Chloroflexota; Anaerolineae; Anaerolineales; Anaerolineaceae
Description: tRNA-Phe
Rfam family: tRNA
About the family: Transfer RNA (tRNA) molecules are approximately 80 nucleotides in length.
Source: RNAcentral
GUUGGGAACGUGGUAGAGCAGCGGACUGAAAAUCCGCGUGUCGACAGUUCAAUUCUGUCUCUCGGCACCA